AAGGUACAGGCAGCGGGCAGGCACGUGGGGGGCGGCAGCCAAUGGCUGCGGCGCCUGCGGGACUUCCCCGGCUCCUGGCGCUGAUAGAUCGCCGCGUCGAGGGCAUUUAAAAGCUGAGCGCUCCGGCGGCGCUGCACGGAACGGCACCGCGGGGCAGGGCGGUGGCGGCCACCCCCCGAGGGACAGAGGGGGGGCUGGGCUGUCGCCCCGCCACCACCGGGGUCCCGCCCGCCGGCUGAGAGGGGAAGGCAAGAGAGAUGCGGAGGCUGCUCCCCGCCCGCGGAGCCCACCAGCCGUCCCCUCCAGGCAUUGCCAGAAUGCAGAACUCUGGGAACAAAAGAAACCCCAAGCCCGUACGUGCUCUUUGCUGUCCAAUUUAGCCCAGUGGCAGAGGAGUUAAAAUGCCGAUGAGGCUGCUCGCUCUCCGCAGGGACAGGGCUAGAGCAGAGAGGAGAAGAAGCAGGGCCGAGGUUUCGCCGCGUCCACAGCUCAGCCAAGCUGUUGUUUUAAAAGAGCAAUAAAAAUGACUUAUGACUAAACGCCUUCUCACUUAAUGGUUUUAGACGGGGAUCCCCAGCCCCGGCAAAUACGUAAGAGGAUUUUUAUUUGUGCAUGUGUUCCUGCAAUUGAUCUCUUUGAUGACAUUCUCAUUCAUAGAAAGAGUUUGAUUUAUGACUUUCGGAAGAACUGCGUUCAGCCCUUCCAGCUAUAACCCACGCAUUCCAGCUCCACAACGUGUUGUAAGGCUGGGAGAAGCACUCCUCGCACAGACGGACAGCAGAGCCUCGGCCACAAACCUCACUCGCCCGUGUAAUGUAAUCACACGCACUCACACACACACACACACACACAGGGAGACGCGAUCGUACCCGCCCGGGGUCCCCCAGCCCUGGAGCGGCAGAGCCUCGUUGGCAUCUGUUGCUCAGUUUUAGCCCGAAGGACGGGGCUCACCCUGCGUUUUGGAGUCCGCUGGCCGGGUGGCAGGCAAUUUGUUGGAGGUUUCUGAAAGCCCAUCUUUGCUGCCGCCAGCAGAGAGGGGGGAGCCCCGAAGAAAUUGCAACUUUAAAGUCAGAGUUUCUCCUUUUCGUUAUCAGUCCUUUGUCCCGCAAGAAGGUUUAAACAGAAAAAACGUAUCUUCUGUUGUGUCCCUGCACUGCUCAUCAAAAGGACGGCUGAAGGGGCUGAUUCCUCCCUAUGCUUUUUAUCCUGUGUUUCUGCCACCCUUUUGAUUUUACAGGCACUAACUUCUCAAUUUCUUCUCCUUCUACGGCUGAUUUCUUGGACCGCUCAACACGUGAGAAGUAACCAAGCCCCUUCUCUGUGAGGUCUGGUAUUUUCUAAAAUAUGCUUCCUGAAACAGCUUGCUGGCUGCUAAACACUAAUUUCUAGAAAAACAGGAUUCCCCCUCCCCCCAAAAGAAAUAAAAAUGCUUUUCUUGUAUGUAACAGGCUAGUUUCUGCAGGAGACGCUUAUCCUACUGAGUCUCUCUUGUGUUUUCCCUGCAAGAGAAAGUGCUCGUUCAUGCUUUUGUUACAGCUCAGCAUUUCCAAGCUUUGUAUCCUCACAGAGAUAAGAUGUUACAUUUAUACAUUAAAAGGAAGAGGUUUCCAUCAAAGCUGCGAAUGAUUUUAGUUUCUCUGGUUUCUUUUUGUUGCUUUGUUUUGUUUUGUUCUGUUCUUUAUUCCGCGUGAAAACCCUUGCAAUAAAGAAUGUGAACCUA
Molecule: long non-coding RNA, 1720 nt
Organism: Pezoporus occidentalis (night parrot)
Lineage: Eukaryota; Metazoa; Chordata; Aves; Psittaciformes; Psittacidae
Exons: 2
Source: RefSeq, a predicted model, not a curated record